GUGGGGAAUAUUGCGCAAUGGGGGAAACCCUGACGCAGCGACGCCGCGUGAGCGAAGAAGGCCUUAGGGUUGUAAAGCUCUGUUUUAAGGGACGAAUGUCGUGGGGAGUAAUAUGCUCUGCGAAUGACGGUACCUUAAGAGGAAGCCCCGGCUAACUACGUGCCAGCAGCCGCGGUAAGACGUAGGGGGCGAGCGUUGUCCGGAAUUACUGGGCGUAAAGAGCACGUAGGCGGGAACUUAAGUCAGGUGUGAAAGACCGGGGCUCAACUCCGUGGUUGCACUUGAAACUGGGUUUCUUGAGGGCAGGAGAGGAAAGCAGAAUUCCUGGUGUAGCGGUGAAAUGCGUAGAAAUCAGGAGGAAUACCAGUGGCGAAGGCGGCUUUCUGGACUGACCCUGACGCUGAGGUGCGAAAGCGUGGGUAGCAAACAGGAUUAGAAACCCUUGUAGUCC
This 451-nucleotide ribosomal RNA is filed under the name uncultured bacterium. RNAcentral's name for it is "partial 16S ribosomal RNA". It matches the Rfam family "Bacterial small subunit ribosomal RNA", at positions 354 to 796 of the family's 1533-position model. The record is from RNAcentral.